GCUGCUCCAUUAUACCUUUUUUUGGCGAAGGUAACGUCGUAUCGUCACCCCCCUCCUCUUUCAGGUUAGGAUUACGGUUCUUAUUCUCCUCUUCCUUGGUGCUCAAACGAUUUCAGAUUUUCCUCUACCUCCAUUCUUUCUUUCGCUUCCCCUUCGUUUUGGAUUUCGUUUUCUUCACAAGACACUAAGAUCACGUUUGGUUCGCUGUAUUGGAUUAGAGAUGUAUUGGAUUAGAGGUGUAAUGGAAUAGAGGUGUAAUAGCAAAUUAACUGUUUGGUUGAAUGUAAUGGAAUAGAGGCGUAAUAGUAAUCUUGUGUUUGGUUGAAUGGAAUAGAGGUGUAAUAGCAUAAUGGAAAAAACUAAAAUGACUAGAAUACCCUUAGCAUAAAUUUGUUUUGAUAAAUGAUUAUUGUUAUUGUUAUUUAAAUUUUAAUAAGAUUAUUAUUAUCAAUAAUAAAUAAUUUAAUCAUAUUUAAAUAUAAUUAUUAUUAAAUAUAUUUUAAUUAAAAUAUAUAAUUUAAUAAAAUUCUUAAUAAUUAAUAUUCUGAUAUGAAUUUACUCAAAUAAUAAUAUAUGAUACUAUAAAAUAUAAAUUAAUAUAAUUAUUAUUAAAUAUAUUAUAAUUAAAAUAUAUAAUUUAAUAAAAUUCUUAAUAAUUAAUAUUCUUAUAUAAAUUUACUCAAAUCAUAAUAUAUGAUACUAUAAAAGAUAAUUUAACAUAAUUAUUAUUAAAUAUAUCUUAAUUAAAAUAUAUAAUUUAAUAAAAUUCUUAAUAAUUAAUAUUCUUAUAUGAAUUUACUCAAAUCAUAAUAUAUUGUACUAUAAAAGAUAAUUUGAAAUAAUUAAUAUUAAAUAUAUUUUAAUUAAAAUAUAUGAUUUAAUAAAAUUUAAAAUAAUUAUAACUAAUAAAAUUUAAUAAGUGAGUAAGAAUUGAACUCUAAAAAAAAAAACAUAACCAUAUAGAAUUGAACUUUAAAAAUAAAAAAAAAACAUAACCAUAUUGAAUUAUCAUCAACAACUCGAUUGAAUUUACAACAAUUCUGAAUUAAAUGGAAGUACUGCCUCAAUAUCUCACUUCAACUAAAAAUAUAAAGUAAGAAUUCAAUAGAAGAAAUUCAAGCCGAUACAAUAUCUUUUUCACCCUGCUCUCAACUCCAAUUGGCCUUCCAUGAAACCAAUUCUUCACUUCAAACAAAAUAGCUCAUCAAUCUAGCAGGAAAACGAAUACUGUCCAAAGUUGCCAUUGAAAAUAACCUCCAACUUCAUGUGUCCAUUCCACAAGUUAAGGGAAAAAGCAAUCAAUGGCAAUUCUGGAUUUAUAUGAUGCAUUGAUAAAUCAGGAAAAACAAUCUUUCUAACUCCUAAUCACACCAAAAGGAGAAGGGGAGAGUAGCUACUUGAAAUGGUACAUUUUAAAGUUGCAGUAACAAGGAAAUAAGAUUUGUCACUUUAACUUACAAGGAAAUUAACAAGUAUGACAGAUAAUAUUCCCAAGUAAACACAUAUAAAAGUGAACAUGCUAGUGUGGCAUAGGCAAACACGAAAAACCAGAGAGGAAGUCAAUGAUUAUAUACUUACAGUAGAUAAAGAUUGAUUCAAUCAAUUCAGGAGAGAAAAAGAGUGCAGUGGCUUAUGUAUUAAGAGUUUUUCAAGCAACCAGAUGAACCUGAAAUUAGCAUUUCUUUCAGGAUACAGAGUGAAAAAAUGAAGAGAUGGUUAAGAAAAUGUCAACCACAUAGAUUUGCAUAAGCAAGCCGCAGUGUGCAAUCCUCCCAAUGGAGGCCUGAGCUCCCCUUUGAAAUUUCUUCCCUUGGGUUCUAAUUGCAAUUUAAAAUGACAACAAAAUCAUCAUCAAUCACUAUCCUAAAUAUCCUGGGACACAAAAAUAAACCUUUGCAAUUACCAUCAGAGUCAAUGUAUGUAAUUGUGGUACGUUUGUCGACUGGGUUGAAUGGAAGAAAGUGAACCUCUUUGAUGUUUGCACGAGCCUGAAUAUGCAAGGUUUCUUUCAUUAUUUGACAUGAACAUCUAAAAGAAUCAAAUGAAAAAGAGAACCUUGAAAUUGAACAUUUUUGUUGUUGUAUUACCUCAUUCGGGUCUGCAAGCAUGUUAAUGAUGGCUGCAUCAAUAGCAUCCUGAUUUUCCAGUCUGGAGGCUCUUGCUGCUAGCAGAACAACCAAGUCUUUGUCCAUAUUUUUGCUAAAAACCUUAAGAAAAAGGUGAACAUGGCUAUUUAACCUUUAUCUGAAAAUUGAGUCAUUGCAAGAACUAGGAGUUUCAAAUUUUUGAAGUCCAGCUAUUGUACCUCAACAAGGUUCCGAUCAACGGUUAGACGAUUCAAGGUCAGAGUUCCAGUUUUGUCACUGCAUAGAACAUCCAUUCCAGCCAUUUCUUCAAUUGUAGUCAUCCUUUUAGUAAUGGCACCCUAAAAAAACAAACCAAACAAUAGAUUUGUAAACAACGUAGAAUAAGUAUUUCAGUUUGUCAUUGUGCUGUUUUGGAUGUUUUAGCUUAUUUUUACUGGAAAAUGAUGUGCAUUGAAUAAGAGUUGUACCUGUUGAGACAGUCGAUGAGAACCGAUUGCAAGAGUAACAGAUAAUACAGGAAUUUUUACAUGAUAUAUCUUCAGUUAUUUAAUUGACUUUUAUCACUAUCAAGUAGAGCACUUGCCUGAUCAAUUUUAAGUGGAUCGCCUUCAAGAAGGCGAGCAUCUGCAGGGAUGAUAUCUCCAAGUUUUAUGCUAAUUAUAUCUCCUGGUACUAAAAUAGCAGCAUCUGUCUCUUGCCAUUGACCAUCUCUGAGAACCUGCAUAAAAGAAAAAUGAUUAUGAAAAUUUAGACAUUAUUGUAUUUGCAAAGGCAUUAAAGAAACUUAAAGAGAGUUGCAGACCUUUGUUUUAGGAGCCAGACGAGCCAUGAGUGCGGCUGCAGCAUUUCCAGCAUUGUUUUCCUCAAUGAAACUGAUUGUUGAAUUGAUAAUCAGAAGGCAUAUAAUCCCUACAAAGUCCUGCCAGUCAGGACCCUCACCCUGAAACAAAACAAACCGCAGAAAGCUAUCAGGGUGACCAUUCAAGCUUUGAAAAGUAUAUGGGGAAAGAUAUAUAACUUAGUCCACCAUUGGCAAGGACAAUGGCCAUCACUGCUGCAGCUUCCAUAACCCAUGAUAAUGGGUUCCACAUAAAACUUAGAAACUUCAAAAACUUGUUUUCCUGGAGUAUGAUAAAAAAGCUAGCAUUGUCACAGUGCUUCAAACCAAACCAGAUAAACUACAGCUAGCUUAGCUAAUAGGCUGCAAGGUCUUACUCUAUUGCAAUUUUAUAACUAGAACUACAGAUAAAUAAUGAUGAUUUAACUGAAAAUUUGAAACUCUAUAUAUAUAUCCGAAAUUACGGGUGCUUACGAGCUUCUCCUCGAGCUUAUUCUGACCAAAAAUAUGGACUCGAACUUCAGCAUCUUCAGAUGUAAGUCCUGCACGGGAUGUUCUCAGUAAAAUAAAUGAUCGUAAAACUGAAUUUAAAUCACCAAAAACGUUAAAUAAAAUAAUCGACAUUUCUUUUACCUUCUGAAUUUCCAUUGAGCAGCAGAAGGAACUUCAACAGGAGGCAAACCUUCAUGCUUCCAAUCGGAAAAAGCAUCUAAUGCAUUGAAACGAAUAUCGUUGCCGCUUGCGACGUCUUUAAGAGAAUCAAACAACUUUCACCGAAUAUCAUUUCCGGUAAAGUGGCGAAGUUUGGAGUCUUUGUUCCCAUUGUUGGAGAGCCAAUAAGUUGAGAAUCAAGCGGUUACCACCAUGAAACAGCAACAGGGUCGAGCGGAUGAAGAAGAAGAAGCAGUCUGCUAAUGAGUGAUGAAGAAGAAGCAGAUGUGGCGGCAGAAAGGAAGGAAAAAGUUAUGGAAUCAGAAAAAUCAGAAGAAGCAAUUAGGAGGGUAAAACAGGGUAGAAAAUGGGGAGAAGUUAAUACGCAGCAAAACAGAGCUUUUCAUCCGGAAUAGAAAUCGGUGGAUUUUAGGGAUUAGGUCUGUAAUGAAUUAGACCUGUAAUAACAAUACACUGAACCAAACAAUGAAUUAAAGGAGUAUUAAGUGGGGCCCAUUGAUUAGGGAUGUAUUGGCUAUGCCAAUACACCCAACCAAACAUGCUCUAAGGCUUUCUUUCCUGAUUAGCUCGUGAAUCUUAUAUAUUACGUUAACCCAAACCCAAUCACAUCGACUUUUUCCAUUUAACUAGCAAUAAUUUACCAAUUAAAAAGGAGAAAUAAAUAAAUAAAUCUACUUUGAAUGACUAAAAGGACUUUGUGAUUAACUAAUAACAGAACCAAUUAUACUGAAAAUCAAACAGCAUUAGCAAAGGGAGAGGAAUGGCCAUACUGCUCAUGAAAAUGGAGAAAAUAUUUUUAGCUUUUCUAUUUAUGUAUAAAUAUAUAUACGUGUUAGGUUUUGAUUUGGUUACAAAUAUCCCUACAAAUAUUGCUAUCAUUUUUUUUUCCUUUUUUUUUUUACUAUUAUUAACAAAGGAGUUAUAACACAGGGGAUGCUGAUGCUGAAGCUGCAACCGAAACUAGUAUUUUUACGACACUAUUUCCCCCUCUUCACCAUCUUCAUUCAGAAUUGCCUCAUCAUCCUCGUCUUCCGAAUACUCGACCUUGAUGAACAAACCCAACUGCUGCAGGGGAUUUC
RNAcentral lists this long non-coding RNA (4676 nucleotides) under Gossypium barbadense (sea-island cotton). RNAcentral describes it as "long non-coding RNA (GBAR_LNC016084)". The record is from RNAcentral. Lineage: Eukaryota; Viridiplantae; Streptophyta; Magnoliopsida; Malvales; Malvaceae.